GCUCGUAGUUGGAUUUCGGAUGGGUUUGACCGGUCCGCCGUUUGGUGUGCACUGGUCGUACCUAUCUUGCUGUCGGGGACGCGCUCCUGGCCUUAAUUGGCUGGGACGCGGAGUCGGCGAUGUUACUUUGAAAAAAUUAGAGUGUUCAAAGCAGGCCUAAGCUCUGAAUACAUUAGCAUGGAAUAACGCUAUAGGACUCUGGUCUUAUUGCGUUGGUCUUCGAGACCGGAGUAAUGAUUAAGAGGGACAGUUGGGGGCAUUCGUAUUUCAUUGUCAGAGGUGAAAUUCUUGGAUUUAUGAAAGACGAACUUCUGCGAAAGCAUUUGCCAAGGAUGUUUUCAUUAAUCAAGAACGAAAGUUGGGGGCUCGAAGACGAUCAGAUACCGUCCUAGUCUCAACCAUAAACGAUGCCGACUAGGGAUUGGCGGAUGUUAAUUCGAUGACUUCGCCAGCACCUUAUGAGAAAUCAAAGUUUUUGGGUUCCGGGGGGAGUAUGGUCGCAAGGCUGAAACUUAAAGGAAUUGACGGAAGGG
Molecule: ribosomal RNA, 533 nt
Filed under: Pyramimonas sp. RCC4209
Lineage: Eukaryota; Viridiplantae; Chlorophyta; Pyramimonadophyceae; Pyramimonadales; Pyramimonadaceae
Description: SSU rRNA
Rfam family: Eukaryotic small subunit ribosomal RNA
Source: RNAcentral